Molecule: ribosomal RNA, 896 nt
Filed under: uncultured Hydrogenophaga sp.
Lineage: Bacteria; Pseudomonadati; Pseudomonadota; Betaproteobacteria; Burkholderiales; Comamonadaceae
Description: bacterial SSU rRNA
Rfam family: Bacterial small subunit ribosomal RNA
Source: RNAcentral
AGAGCUGGCGGCAUGCUUUACACAUGCAAGUCGAACGGUAACAGGCCGCAAGGUGCUGACGAGUGGCGAACGGGUGAGUAAUGCAUCGGAACGUGCCCAGUCGUGGGGGAUAACGCAGCGAAAGCUGCGCUAAUACCGCAUACGAUCUAUGGAUGAAAGCGGGGGACCGUAAGGCCUCGCGCGAUUGGAGCGGCCGAUGUCAGAUUAGGUAGUUGGUGGGGUAAAGGCUCACCAAGCCAACGAUCUGUAGCUGGUCUGAGAGGACGACCAGCCACACUGGGACUGAGACACGGCCCAGACUCCUACGGGAGGCAGCAGUGGGGAAUUUUGGACAAUGGGCGAAAGCCUGAUCCAGCCAUGCCGCGUGCAGGAUGAAGGCCUUCGGGUUGUAAACUGCUUUUGUACGGAACGAAAAGACUCUGGUUAAUACCUGGGGUCCAUGACGGUACCGUAAGAAUAAGCACCGGCUAACUACGUGCCAGCAGCCGCGGUAAUACGUAGGGUGCAAGCGUUAAUCGGAAUUACUGGGCGUAAAGCAUGCGCAGGCGGUUAUAUAAGACAGAUGUGAAAUCCCCGGGCUCAACCUGGGAACUGCAUUUGUGACUGUAUAGCUAGAGUACGGCAGAGGGGGAUGGAAUUCCGCGUGUAGCAGUGAAAUGCGUAGAUAUGCGGAGGAACACCGAUGGCGAAGGCAAUCCCCUGGGCCUGUACUGACGCUCAUGCACGAAAGCGUGGGGAGCAAACAGGAUUAGAUACCCCUGGUAGUCCACGCCCUAAACGAUGUCAACUGGUUGUUGGGUCUUCACUGACUCAGUAACGAAGCUAACGCGUGAAGUUGACCGCCUGGGGAGUACGGCCGCAAGGUUGAAACUCAAAUGAAUUGACGGAAGGCGAAU